GGGUUGUGAGGUUAAGCGACUAAGCGUACACGGUGGAUGCCCUGGCAGUCAGAGGCGAUGAAGGACGUGCUAAUCUGCGAAAAGCGCCGGCGAGGUGAUAUGAACCCUUGACCCGGCGAUGUCCGAAUGGGGAAACCCAGUGUGAUUCGUCACACUAUCGUUAACUGAAUACAUAGGUUAACGAGGCGAACCGGGGGAACUGAAACAUCUAAGUACCCCGAGGAAAAGAAAUCAACCGAGAUUCCCCCAGUAGCGGCGAGCGAACGGGGAGCAGCCCAGAGUCUGAAUCAGCUUGUGUGUUAGUGGAAGCGUCUGGAAAGUCGCACGGUACAGGGUGACAGUCCCGUACACGAAAAUGCACAGGUUGUGAACUCGAAGAGUAGGGCGGGACACGUGGUAUCCUGUCUGAAUAUGGGGGGACCAUCCUCCAAGGCUAAAUACUCCUGACUGACCGAUAGUGAACCAGUACCGUGAGGGAAAGGCGAAAAGAACCCCGGCGAGGGGAGUGAAAAAGAACCUGAAACCGUGUACGUACAAGCAGUGGGAGCACCUUCGGGUGUGACUGCGUACCUUUUGUAUAAUGGGUCAGCGACUUAUAUUCUGUAGCAAGGUUAACCGUAUAGGGGAGCCGAAGGGAAACCGAGUCUUAACUGGGCGUUAAGUUGCAGGGUAUAGACCCGAAACCCGGUGAUCUAGCCAUGGGCAGGUUGAAGGUUGGGUAACACUAACUGGAGGACCGAACCGACUAAUGUUGAAAAAUUAGCGGAUGACUUGUGGCUGGGGGUGAAAGGCCAAUCAAACCGGGAGAUAGCUGGUUCUCCCCGAAAGCUAUUUAGGUAGCGCCUCGUGAACUCAUCUUCGGGGGUAGAGCACUGUUUCGGCUAGGGGGCCAUCCCGGCUUACCAACCCGAUGCAAACUACGAAUACCGAAGAAUGUUAUCACGGGAGACACACGGCGGGUGCUAACGUCCGUCGUGAAGAGGGAAACAACCCAGACCGCCAGCUAAGGUCCCAAAGUCAUGGUUAAGUGGGAAACGAUGUGGGAAGGCCCAGACAGCCAGGAUGUUGGCUUAGAAGCAGCCAUCAUUUAAAGAAAGCGUAAUAGCUCACUGGUCGAGUCGGCCUGCGCGGAAGAUGUAACGGGGCUAAACCAUGCACCGAAGCUGCGGCAGCGACACUAUGUGUUGUUGGGUAGGGGAGCGUUCUGUAAGCCGUUGAAGGUGGCCUGUGAGGGUUGCUGGAGGUAUCAGAAGUGCGAAUGCUGACAUAAGUAACGAUAAAGCGGGUGAAAAGCCCGCUCGCCGGAAGACCAAGGGUUCCUGUCCAACGUUAAUCGGGGCAGGGUGAGUCGACCCCUAAGGCGAGGCCGAAAGGCGUAGUCGAUGGGAAACAGGUUAAUAUUCCUGUACUUGGUGUUACUGCGAAGGGGGGACGGAGAAGGCUAUGUUAGCCGGGCGACGGUUGUCCCGGUUUAAGCAUGUAGGCGGAGGUUCCAGGUAAAUCCGGUACCUUUUUAACGCUGAGGUGUGAUGACGAGGCACUACGGUGCUGAAGUAACAAAUGCCCUGCUUCCAGGAAAAGCCUCUAAGCAUCAGGUAACACGAAAUCGUACCCCAAACCGACACAGGUGGUCAGGUAGAGAAUACCAAGGCGCUUGAGAGAACUCGGGUGAAGGAACUAGGCAAAAUGGUGCCGUAACUUCGGGAGAAGGCACGCUGAUAUGUAGGUGAAGCCCCUGCGGGUGGAGCUGAAAUCAGUCGAAGAUACCAGCUGGCUGCAACUGUUUAUUAAAAACACAGCACUGUGCAAACACGAAAGUGGACGUAUACGGUGUGACGCCUGCCCGGUGCCGGAAGGUUAAUUGAUGGGGUUAGCGGCAACGCGAAGCUCUUGAUCGAAGCCCCGGUAAACGGCGGCCGUAACUAUAACGGUCCUAAGGUAGCGAAAUUCCUUGUCGGGUAAGUUCCGACCUGCACGAAUGGCGUAAUGAUGGCCAGGCUGUCUCCACCCGAGACUCAGUGAAAUUGAACUCGCUGUGAAGAUGCAGUGUACCCGCGGCAAGACGGAAAGACCCCGUGAACCUUUACUAUAGCUUGACACUGAACACUGGUCCUUGAUGUGUAGGAUAGGUGGGAGGCUUUGAAGCGUGGACGCCAGUCUGCGUGGAGCCAACCUUGAAAUACCACCCUUUAAUGGCUGGUGUUCUAACGUAGACCCGUAAUCCGGGUUGCGGACAGUGUCUGGUGGGUAGUUUGACUGGGGCGGUCUCCUCCCAAAGAGUAACGGAGGAGCACGAAGGUUAGCUAAUCCUGGUCGGACAUCAGGAGGUUAGUGCAAUGGCAUAAGCUAGCUUGACUGCGAGAGUGACGGCUCGAGCAGGUGCGAAAGCAGGUCAUAGUGAUCCGGUGGUUCUGAAUGGAAGGGCCAUCGCUCAACGGAUAAAAGGUACUCCGGGGAUAACAGGCUGAUACCGCCCAAGAGUUCAUAUCGACGGCGGUGUUUGGCACCUCGAUGUCGGCUCAUCACAUCCUGGGGCUGAAGUAGGUCCCAAGGGUAUGGCUGUUCGCCAUUUAAAGUGGUACGCGAGCUGGGUUUAGAACGUCGUGAGACAGUUCGGUCCCUAUCUGCCGUGGGCGCUGGAGAAUUGAGGGGGGCUGCUCCUAGUACGAGAGGACCGGAGUGGACGCAUCACUGGUGUUCGGGUUGUCAUGCCAAUGGCACUGCCCGGUAGCUAAAUGCGGAAGAGAUAAGUGCUGAAAGCAUCUAAGCACGAAACUUGCCCCGAGAUGAGUUCUCCCUGAGACUUAAAGUCUCCUGAAGGAACGUUGAAGACGACGACGUUGAUAGGUCGGGUGUGUAAGCGCAGCGAUGCGUUGAGCUAACCGAUACUAAUGAACCGUGAGGCUUAACCUUACAACGCCGAAGCUGUU
RNAcentral lists this ribosomal RNA (2930 nucleotides) under Enterobacter cloacae subsp. dissolvens. RNAcentral describes it as "bacterial LSU rRNA". It matches the Rfam family "Bacterial large subunit ribosomal RNA". The record is from RNAcentral. Lineage: Bacteria; Pseudomonadati; Pseudomonadota; Gammaproteobacteria; Enterobacterales; Enterobacteriaceae.